CGGGGACGGGGCGGCGGGCAUGGGGCUGCGGGGUGAGCUGUGCUGCCCCCAGGUCCUGCGUGCGGGCGCUGAGCCGGGCCGGCUGUGGGACGAGGACGCGGUCAGCUUCUUCGUGGACAGCGGGGACGGGGAGCCGGGCACCCUGCUGUACGACUACGGGAAGCUCCUGCUGAGUUACAGACCGCAGCUGAGCGCCCAGUGCUUCGUCACCCGCAUGGAUGGGGAGCAAAUCCCAGGGCUGGACGCUGCCGUCCGGGCGUUCAGGGAGCGGCAGGCCGCCCCUGGCCCCCCCAUGGCGGUGGCUGCGCGCUCCCUGCUGGGCCCCACGGCGAGCAUCCUGUGCAGCGCCGUCCCCAUUUUCUGGGCUUGACUCGGUGAGUGCCCCACUGAUGUGGGGGGGGGACCCCCGCUGCCCCCCCCAUCUGCCCCACGGAUCCUUCACCCUUCGCUUUGCAUCGCAGCGCCCCCAGCGCUGCAAAACCCCCCCGGCCUCCUCCGUGUGGGGGGCAAACGCCACCAGCACUGCAUCCCUGCAUGCA
RNAcentral lists this long non-coding RNA (539 nucleotides) under Chrysolophus pictus (golden pheasant). RNAcentral's name for it is "lncRNA (ENSCPIG00010005680.1)". The record is from RNAcentral. Lineage: Eukaryota; Metazoa; Chordata; Aves; Galliformes; Phasianidae.